Molecule: ribosomal RNA, 253 nt
Filed under: uncultured bacterium
Lineage: Bacteria
Description: partial 16S ribosomal RNA
Rfam family: Bacterial small subunit ribosomal RNA
Source: RNAcentral
UACGUAGGGUGCAAGCGUUAAUCGGAAUUACUGGGCGUAAAGCGUGCGCAGGCGGUUUUGUAAGCCAGAUGUGAAAGCCCCGGGCUUAACCUGGGAAUGGCAUUUGGGACUGCAAGGCUUGAGUGCGGCAGAGGAGACUGGAAUUCCUGGUGUAGCAGUGAAAUGCGUAGAUAUCGUAAGGAAGACCAGUGGCGAAGGCGGGUCUCUGGACAGUUCCUGACGCUGAGGCACGAAGGUCAGGGGAGCAAACGGG